This 1448-nucleotide ribosomal RNA is filed under the name Escherichia coli. RNAcentral describes it as "partial 23S ribosomal RNA". It matches the Rfam family "Bacterial large subunit ribosomal RNA", at positions 296 to 1756 of the family's 2925-position model. Lineage: Bacteria; Pseudomonadati; Pseudomonadota; Gammaproteobacteria; Enterobacterales; Enterobacteriaceae. The record is from RNAcentral.
GCCCAGAGCCUGAAUCAGUGUGUGUGUUAGUGGAAGCGUCUGGAAAGGCGCGCGAUACAGGGUGACAGCCCCGUACACAAAAAUGCACAUGCUGUGAGCUCGAUGAGUAGGGCGGGACACGUGGUAUCCUGUCUGAAUAUGGGGGGACCAUCCUCCAAGGCUAAAUACUCCUGACUGACCGAUAGUGAACCAGUACCGUGAGGGAAAGGCGAAAAGAACCCCGGCGAGGGGAGUGAAAAAGAACCUGAAACCGUGUACGUACAAGCAGUGGGAGCACGCUUAGGCGUGUGACUGCGUACCUUUUGUAUAAUGGGUCAGCGACUUAUAUUCUGUAGCAAGGUUAACCGAAUAGGGGAGCCGAAGGGAAACCGAGUCUUAACUGGGCGUUAAGUUGCAGGGUAUAGACCCGAAACCCGGUGAUCUAGCCAUGGGCAGGUUGAAGGUUGGGUAACACUAACUGGAGGACCGAACCGACUAAUGUUGAAAAAUUAGCGGAUGACUUGUGGCUGGGGGUGAAAGGCCAAUCAAACCGGGAGAUAGCUGGUUCUCCCCGAAAGCUAUUUAGGUAGCGCCUCGUGAAUUCAUCUCCGGGGGUAGAGCACUGUUUCGGCAAGGGGGUCAUCCCGACUUACCAACCCGAUGCAAACUGCGAAUACCGGAGAAUGUUAUCACGGGAGACACACGGCGGGUGCUAACGUCCGUCGUGAAGAGGGAAACAACCCAGACCGCCAGCUAAGGUCCCAAAGUCAUGGUUAAGUGGGAAACGAUGUGGGAAGGCCCAGACAGCCAGGAUGUUGGCUUAGAAGCAGCCAUCAUUUAAAGAAAGCGUAAUAGCUCACUGGUCGAGUCGGCCUGCGCGGAAGAUGUAACGGGGCUAAACCAUGCACCGAAGCUGCGGCAGCGACGCUUAUGCGUUGUUGGGUAGGGGAGCGUUCUGUAAGCCUGUGAAGGUGUGCUGUGAGGCAUGCUGGAGGUAUCAGAAGUGCGAAUGCUGACAUAAGUAACGAUAAAGCGGGUGAAAAGCCCGCUCGCCGGAAGACCAAGGGUUCCUGUCCAACGUUAAUCGGGGCAGGGUGAGUCGACCCCUAAGGCGAGGCCGAAAGGCGUAGUCGAUGGGAAACAGGUUAAUAUUCCUGUACUUGGUGUUACUGCGAAGGGGGGACGGAGAAGGCUAUGUUGGCCGGGCGACGGUUGUCCCGGUUUAAGCGUGUAGGCUGGUUUUCCAGGCAAAUCCGGAAAAUCAAGGCUGAGGCGUGAUGACGAGGCACUACGGUGCUGAAGCAACAAAUGCCCUGCUUCCAGGAAAAGCCUCUAAGCAUCAGGUAACAUCAAAUCGUACCCCAAACCGACACAGGUGGUCAGGUAGAGAAUACCAAGGCGCUUGAGAGAACUCGGGUGAAGGAACUAGGCAAAAUGGUGCCGUAACUUCGGGAGAAGGCACGCUGAUA